GACGAACGCUGGCGGCGUGCUUAACACAUGCAAGUCGAACGGAAAGGCCCUGCUUUUGUGGGGUGCUCGAGUGGCGAACGGGUGAGUAACACGUGAGUAACCUACCCUUGACUUUGGGAUAACUUCAGGAAACUGGGGCUAAUACCGGAUAGGAGCUCCUGCUGCAUGGUGGGGGUUGGAAAGUUUCGGCGGUUGGGGAUGGACUCGCGGCUUAUCGGCUUGUUGGUGGGGUAGUGGCUUACCAAGGCUUUGACGGGUAGCCGGCCUGAGAGGGUGACCGGCCACAUUGGGACUGAGAUACGGCCCAGACUCCUACGGGAGGCAGCAGUGGGGAAUAUUGCACAAUGGGCGGAAGCCUGAUGCAGCAACGCCGCGUGCGGGAUGACGGCCUUCGGGUUGUAAACCGCUUUCGCCUGUGACGAAGCGUGAGUGACGGUAAUGGGUAAAGAAGCACCGGCUAACUACGUG
This 468-nucleotide ribosomal RNA is filed under the name uncultured bacterium. RNAcentral describes it as "partial 16S ribosomal RNA". It matches the Rfam family "Bacterial small subunit ribosomal RNA", at positions 28 to 507 of the family's 1533-position model. The record is from RNAcentral.